RNAcentral lists this ribosomal RNA (281 nucleotides) under Gongolaria barbata. RNAcentral describes it as "partial large subunit ribosomal RNA". Lineage: Eukaryota; Phaeophyceae; Fucales; Sargassaceae. The record is from RNAcentral.
AAAAGCUAUAGUGCAAACUAUUGUGAAGAUAUCGGAAGUGAGAAUACUUGCAUGAGUAGCACAAAACAACGGUAAGCGUUGUGGCCGUAAGUCCAAGGUUUCCGAUCUAAAGUAAAGUUGGGUCGGCAGAAGUACAUACUUCUAAAAAAAACGGUCCCUAAGCUGUUAAGCCAAGGCUUCUGGUAAUGGGUAAGACUGUACUGUAACAAGUAACUGACGAAGAAUUCACUUUAUUUUUAUUAAACGUAAAGGUAAAUUAUUUUUUCCAAGAAAAAGGUUCU